CUAGUGUAUGAAAGGGAAGAGGCUUAGCACUCCCUUUGGAAAGGAUGGAAGAGUCCCUCAGGCUUACACAACACAUAUAUGGUUAAGGCAUUGCCACAAAUCUCGUGGCAUCUAGCUAUUUUCUUUU
Molecule: small nuclear RNA, 127 nt
Organism: Myotis lucifugus (little brown bat)
Lineage: Eukaryota; Metazoa; Chordata; Mammalia; Chiroptera; Vespertilionidae
Source: Ensembl